This is a long non-coding RNA of Sinocyclocheilus grahami, 732 nucleotides long. RefSeq lists it as uncharacterized. Lineage: Eukaryota; Metazoa; Chordata; Actinopteri; Cypriniformes; Cyprinidae. The record is from RefSeq and is a predicted model, not a curated record. The transcript has 3 exons.
AGCUACUUUGAGUUAGUGAAUGUGUUUGUUUCUUUAGGCCGUGCUGACAGAAGAACCUCAAACUCAAGCACAGUCUGAAUCACAGAAUGUGCGUGAAGAGGUGCCUGAGGGGACAUUUGAGACUGUCCCGCAGAGUGUACGUGGUAACUUGAAGCUGAAUGACCUCAACACGCUCUAUAAGCAGUUAUCCGAGUACUUCUCAGAUAAGAACAGGGGGCCAAUAAGCACUCAGAGGAUGAAGAAGCUGAACAUGAAAGUUAGUGAUUCUGCAUUGAAGACCUUACAGCACCUUAAACUCAUUGAGCUGGAUAAAAAAGGACUUGUGUCAUUGCUGGCAAAAGACUGAGAAACAGGGACCAAUUAGACCCACAAACCCCACCAAAAUGUGUAAAUCCUCCAGUUCCUUCCACCUGUGUGCUAAAGUAAAACCCUAAAAAAAGUUUAGAACAGGAAUGACAGUGAACUUGAAAAUAUUUCAAAAACAUUGCGUCCGUGAGGUUCAGUAUAUCCAUUAAUCAGGAUUGCAUACAUUUUAAAAGAAAAUAAUCUUAUCAGUCUUUUUAAGGACUAAACUUAUUUUUUCCUGUUAUUUUUCUGUCCUGUUUCCUCUGCAUAAUGUUAUUCAGCCAUUAAACUAUAUCAUGACCUGUUGUGGCAUCAUUAGAUUUGUAUAAGAAAGAAACUGUACAGCAUAAGAGUUUAUAUUUUUUGUAAAGGGAAACAGGUGUUUAU